CGGCGGACGGGUGAGUAACGCGUGGGUAACCUGCCUCAUACAGGGGGAUAACAGUUAGAAAUGACUGCUAAUACCGCAUAAGACCACGGUACCGCAUGGUACAGUGGUAAAAACUCCGGUGGUAUGAGAUGGACCCGCGUCUGAUUAGCUAGUUGGAGGGGUAACGGCCCACCAAGGCGAUGAUCAGUAGCCGGUCUGAGAGGAUGAACGGCCACAUUGGGACUGAGACACGGCCCAG
This 238-nucleotide ribosomal RNA is filed under the name uncultured bacterium. Its description in RNAcentral is "partial 16S ribosomal RNA". It matches the Rfam family "Bacterial small subunit ribosomal RNA", at positions 96 to 334 of the family's 1533-position model. The record is from RNAcentral.